GGCACGGCUAGGGCGAGGGGCUCGGGGUCCCUCCCGGAGCCCCUGUAGGGGUUCCGGCCGCAAAUCCCCGAUACGGCGGGCCCGAAAAUCCCCGGAGGGGGGAGUUAAAACCCGCCCCUAGAUUCCGAGCCGAGACAAUGACUCCCCGCCUCCCGGGGACAGGGGCGUGCCCAUAGUUACCCGCUGGAAGGCGGGUAGCUAUGGGCCCGAUUUAUGGCGGCGGGGAAUCGGCGUAGGCCCGGAAGGGAGCGCGCCUAACCCGGCGCCUCUGUGCUCCGGGAUAUCGCGGGGAGGAGUUAAGGCUCGGAAUUGUGGGGGCGGGAGGCUUCCCCACCGGGGACUGCCGUGCC
RNAcentral lists this signal recognition particle RNA (350 nucleotides) under Candidatus Bathyarchaeota archaeon. RNAcentral's name for it is "signal recognition particle sRNA". It matches the Rfam family "Archaeal signal recognition particle RNA". The record is from RNAcentral. RNAcentral also lists the same sequence under 1 other name. Lineage: Archaea; Thermoproteati; Candidatus Bathyarchaeota.